AAGUCGUAACAAGGUUUCCGUAGGUGAACCUGCGGAAGGAUCAUUACCGAGUAUGCCCUCCUGGGCGGACCUUCAACCCACUGUAUACUACUUUUUGUUGCUUUGGCGGGCCCGCGCAAGCUACUGGCUUCGGCUGGUAAGUGCCCGCCAGAGGAAACUAAACCCUAACAAUUUUUGUUUUGUCUGAAAAAAAGUAAAUAUUUAAAACUUUCAACAACGGAUCUCUUGGUUCUC
Molecule: unclassified non-coding RNA, 234 nt
Filed under: Tetracladium furcatum
Lineage: Eukaryota; Fungi; Ascomycota; Leotiomycetes; Helotiales
Description: partial internal transcribed spacer region
Rfam family: Eukaryotic small subunit ribosomal RNA (bases 1-46)
Source: RNAcentral